This 1139-nucleotide ribosomal RNA is filed under the name Salmonella enterica subsp. enterica serovar Oslo. RNAcentral describes it as "bacterial SSU rRNA". It matches the Rfam family "Bacterial small subunit ribosomal RNA", at positions 1 to 1129 of the family's 1533-position model. The record is from RNAcentral. Lineage: Bacteria; Pseudomonadati; Pseudomonadota; Gammaproteobacteria; Enterobacterales; Enterobacteriaceae.
AAAUUGAAGAGUUUGAUCAUGGCUCAGAUUGAACGCUGGCGGCAGGCCUAACACAUGCAAGUCGAACGGUAACAGGAAGCAGCUUGCUGCUUCGCUGACGAGUGGCGGACGGGUGAGUAAUGUCUGGGAAGCUGCCUGAUGGAGGGGGAUAACUACUGGAAACGGUGGCUAAUACCGCAUAACGUCGCAAGACCAAAGAGGGGGACCUUCGGGCCUCUUGCCAUCAGAUGUGCCCAGAUGGGAUUAGCUUGUUGGUGAGGUAACGGCUCACCAAGGCGACGAUCCCUAGCUGGUCUGAGAGGAUGACCAGCCACACUGGAACUGAGACACGGUCCAGACUCCUACGGGAGGCAGCAGUGGGGAAUAUUGCACAAUGGGCGCAAGCCUGAUGCAGCCAUGCCGCGUGUAUGAAGAAGGCCUUCGGGUUGUAAAGUACUUUCAGCGGGGAGGAAGGUGUUGUGGUUAAUAACCGCAGCAAUUGACGUUACCCGCAGAAGAAGCACCGGCUAACUCCGUGCCAGCAGCCGCGGUAAUACGGAGGGUGCAAGCGUUAAUCGGAAUUACUGGGCGUAAAGCGCACGCAGGCGGUCUGUCAAGUCGGAUGUGAAAUCCCCGGGCUCAACCUGGGAACUGCAUUCGAAACUGGCAGGCUUGAGUCUUGUAGAGGGGGGUAGAAUUCCAGGUGUAGCGGUGAAAUGCGUAGAGAUCUGGAGGAAUACCGGUGGCGAAGGCGGCCCCCUGGACAAAGACUGACGCUCAGGUGCGAAAGCGUGGGGAGCAAACAGGAUUAGAUACCCUGGUAGUCCACGCCGUAAACGAUGUCUACUUGGAGGUUGUGCCCUUGAGGCGUGGCUUCCGGAGCUAACGCGUUAAGUAGACCGCCUGGGGAGUACGGCCGCAAGGUUAAAACUCAAAUGAAUUGACGGGGGCCCGCACAAGCGGUGGAGCAUGUGGUUUAAUUCGAUGCAACGCGAAGAACCUUACCUGGUCUUGACAUCCACGGAAGUUUUCAGAGAUGAGAAUGUGCCUUCGGGAACCGUGAGACAGGUGCUGCAUGGCUGUCGUCAGCUCGUGUUGUGAAAUGUUGGGUUAAGUCCCGCAACGAGCGCAACCCUUAUCCUUUGUUGCCAGCGGUUAGG